CUGGUAGUCCACGCUGUAAACGAUGUCGAUUUGGAGGUUGUGCCCUUGAGGCGUGGCUUCCGGAGCUAACGCGUUAAAUCGACCGCCUGGGGAGUACGGCCGCAAGGUUAAAACUCAAAUGAAUUGACGGGGGCCCGCACAAGCGGUGGAGCAUGUGGUUUAAUUCGAUGCAACGCGAAGAACCUUACCUACUCUUGACAUCCAGAGAACUUUCCAGAGAUGGAUUGGUGCCUUCGGGAACUCUGAGACAGGUGCUGCAUGGCUGUCGUCAGCUCGUGUUGUGAAAUGUUGGGUUAAGUCCCGCAACGAGCGCAACCCUUAUCCUUUGUUGCCAGCGGUUCGGCCGGGAACUCAAAGGAGACUGCCAGUGAUAAACUGGAGGAAGGUGGGGAUGACGUCAAGUCAUCAUGGCCCUUACGAGUAGGGCUACACACGUGCUGCAAUGGCAUAUACAAAGAGAAGCGACCUCGCGAGAGCAAGCGGACCUCAUAAAGUAUGUCGUAGUCCGGAUUGGAGUCUGCAACUCGACUCCAUGAAGUCGGAAUCGCUAGUAAUCGUAGAUCAGAAUGCUACGGUGAAUACGUUCCCGGGCCUUGUACACACCGCCCGUCACACCAUGGGAGUGGGUUGCAAAAGAAGUAGGUAGCUUAACCUUCGGGAGGGCGCUUACCACUUUGUGAUUCAUGACUGGGGUGAAGUCGUAACAAGGUAACC
RNAcentral lists this ribosomal RNA (714 nucleotides) under uncultured bacterium. Its description in RNAcentral is "bacterial SSU rRNA". It matches the Rfam family "Bacterial small subunit ribosomal RNA", at positions 787 to 1501 of the family's 1533-position model. The record is from RNAcentral.